ACUUUGGAUUAGGGGGAGAUGUGAUUGGGCCUAUGCUUCUAGCUGGGCUUAGGAAAGUCCCCGGGCCCGUACUGCAGAAAUGCAGGCCCUGUAAGGGGCUCACUACGAGAUGGAACUUGCGGCUGAGACAUGUGUGGAGCCUAUGCUUGUUCUGCCGUAGUAAUUGGCCAAUUUCACAGUCAUCCACAUGGUCAUCAUGACUAACAGAACGGGGCUUACUCCCUCCUAAUCAUCUUUUUUUAAUUUUUAUUUAAAUUAAUUUCUUUUAUCUUUUAUAACAUUUUAACUAAUAUUAUUGUGAUAGGUUGAUUAUAAUAAUAUUAUAUAUAUGGCAUGUAUUAUUAUUAUUAUUAUACAAUAUUGUAAUUAGUGAUAUACAAAUUAAACAUAUUUUUUAUAUAUGUAAUCGUAAUUUUUAUGUUAUUUUUUCUAUAUAUAUAAAUCUAUAAUGGUUAUAAAAAUGGUUUUGAUAAUUUAAUUAGAAAUUUUUGGAUAAUUUAAUUAGAAAAGUGAGUUAGUUGAAAUUUUAUAAAAUAUAUUAUCUAAAGGCUAUCAAAAUUAAUUAAGAUAAAAAUGGAUAUGUUUCUAAUUUAUAUUAUAUUAAAAUACAAAUCUUAAUUAUUAGAAAAAAAAAGACAGAAAAUCUCAAAAUAAGGUUUGAGUUGACAAUAUUACAUUAUUUUCUCUGUAAAGAGAAAAACCUAGAAGCUAAGUUAUUAGGAAGACUAAAAAAAUUUAAAACUAUGUGCUGAGAUAAGAGAACCUAACCUAUGUUUUGAUUUGAUUUUUAUGAUGUAAGAGGAAUUACCUCUCUUUUCUUUGUUUUGUCAUGUUUUGAGGAGAAUGAAUUGAUGUUAUUUAUUUAUUUAUUAAUUGUUUUGGAAAAGAGUGGAGCAAAUUGAAUGGAGGAUGUGGUAGGUGCGUGAACGUGAAAAUUUGAAUAUGAGAAUUGGGAAUUGGGAAAUAGAAUUGAAAAUUUCCUCCCUAUAACCUAAUUAAUAUGAAAUUGGGAAACAGAAUUGAAAUUUUGAAUUUUAUGAAUGAGAGAUAUGUUACUUGAAUUGAAAUAGAAAAAAUCGGUGUGAAACAUUAUUACGGUGAAAGUGGUGAUAAAACAUUUAAUAUUAUCAUUUGGUAAACAUUGUCUUUGGAGGUUGUGAAUGAGAAUGAGUUUUGAAAAACAUUGUGCAUAUUAAUGUUAAAAUAUUAUCAAAAAAAGAUGUUGUCAAAUUAUCAUCAUCUUUAUUAUUAUUUAUUAUGUGCAUAUGCACAAGUCAAGAGACUUGUUUUGAAUACACAUUAAACCAUUCCUACUAAAAUCUCAGUUUUGAAUACACAUUAAACCAUUAUUUUUAUCUUUUUAACUACAUAGAGUUAUGGAGCAGUUACUAAUUUUGUUUCAACAUAAAGCCCAUUUAUUUUGAACCCUGUGAUGACCAGACUUUAUAUAAGGGAAUGAGUUAUUUUCAGUUUUGAUCACUAAACUUACUUCUCUAUUCAGAAAACACACCAUUUAAUUUGAGUAAGUCAAGGUUCAGAAAACAAAGUUAUCUUUGUUUGGAUUACAAAAGUUGCAAUGACAGGAGGUACGCACAUUAUUAUUUUAUUUUUUUGCUUCCGCUGUUUUUUAUCUGGAUGUGUUAUUAUGAUGUUAAUAUAACAUGUUUAGGUCAAUUUUAUACUCUGUGAAUUUUUAUAAUAUCUCUAUUGCGUUUUGUCAUUAUUUAGUUCUAUAAAUGUGGUGUAUCUCUUAUUCUCUUUUUUAUUAUUUUUCAUCACAAUGUAAUAAUACAGAUUGUGUUUCUCUUCUCCUUUUCUUCAAUACCUUACAUACAUGUUUGUAAAUUAAUUAGCAUUGCUUUCACUAGUGCAGAAUUGGUUUUUAACGUCACCCCUUAGACGUCGGACCACAAAAUAUCCAACGUAAAUUAUUAACCGGUGGCAUUUUCGUAAAUAAGUUGGCCAUAUAGACGUCCAUUAGGUAGGUCCCCGACAUCUAUAAUUUUAUAGACGUAGGGCCCCCCUAACUGUCGUCUACGGGCCUGAUAAGUAAGUGAAAAGUCAUUUUUUUUCCGCCAUAUAGACGUCUGUUCCCGCCACCCCAACGUCUAUAUACGAUUAUAGACGUCGGUCCCCUUGUAACUGACGUCUAUAUGCCUGACAGGGUAGGUGAAAAGUUGACGUAGACGUUGAUGCCCCUAGUAACCAACUUCUAAAGUCAUUUAGACGUCUAUUGUGGGAGGACCGACGUCUAUAAACAUCUGUUAUGGUGGGAAUCGACUUCUAAAUACUCAACCCAGAAAUUUAAAAAGUCACUUUUUGAUUCCAUUUAGACGUUUGAUCCCACUACUCCGAUUUCUAAAGACAUUUAGACGUUUGUUGUGGGGGGAAACCAAUGUCUAUAAACGUCUGUUAUGGGGGAACCAACUUCUAAAUGUCUGUAUUAAAACACUACGAACGCGAGGCAGCAGUUACGCGUACUCACUGUUCAUCAUCUUCCUCACAUUUUCUCUUCACGGGCUACGUUUUCCAGGUUCGUUUUCUCACUUUUACACCGUUUAAAAUUAAUUUUACUCCGAUUACAUUACUCUUUGAUGAAUUAUCUUUCAUUUGAACCGAUUAAAAUACAUUUUCAUUGUGUUUUGGUGCAGUUUUGCUUGUGUCCUUGAGCGGCAAUUUCUUGUAUUUUGAACUCUUCGAAUUCCCUCUACUACAUUUUUAAAACCAUCCAAUACAAAAAAAAAACAUACAAUUAAUUUUCUUCAACUAAAAUAUAAAGUUGUAAACUCGAAUCCCCAUGAGCCAACAGUAACCCAAGAGGCCUCAAGUAGAGAAAGAUUCAAUUAAAUACGGCUACGUUUUAGACAUUUGACUUAUAUAGUCUGACUUCUAUAUAGACGUCUGACCUAUAUAAUUCGACGUCUAUAUAGAUCUCUGACCUAUAGAGUCCAACGUCCCAUUAAUGUCAACCACAAAGACGUCGGUUCGAGAUUUGACGUUAAAAACAAAAAAUAAUAAAUGUCUAAAACUUUUUUGCAGUAUUAUUUUUUGUUUUUAAGUACGUUCACGAGCCACUUAAUCUACUUUUACUCCUAAUUUCAGGAGAAUAUAAUACCGGUACAAAAACAAAGAAAAAAAUGCACAAAAAAAACCUUUUAGAAAUAUAAAAAAUUAAUAAUGUUUCAAAAAUCAAGCUAGCAAGAUAUUUAUGAAAUUCUUUUAUUAAAAAUAAUAAAAUAUUAAAUAUACACUAAUUUUGUCCCUACCUUCUUCACUUUAUAAAAAUAAGCUAAAGCAUCAUCUCCAAC
Molecule: long non-coding RNA, 3308 nt
Filed under: Vigna radiata
Lineage: Eukaryota; Viridiplantae; Streptophyta; Magnoliopsida; Fabales; Fabaceae
Description: long non-coding RNA (VRAD_LNC001308)
Rfam family: RNase MRP (bases 6-231)
Source: RNAcentral